RNAcentral lists this ribosomal RNA (700 nucleotides) under Pseudomonas putida. Its description in RNAcentral is "bacterial SSU rRNA". It matches the Rfam family "Bacterial small subunit ribosomal RNA", at positions 69 to 765 of the family's 1533-position model. Lineage: Bacteria; Pseudomonadati; Pseudomonadota; Gammaproteobacteria; Pseudomonadales; Pseudomonadaceae. The record is from RNAcentral.
AUGACGGGAGCUUGCUCCUUGAUUCAGCGGCGGACGGGUGAGUAAUGCCUAGGAAUCUGCCUGGUAGUGGGGGACAACGUUUCGAAAGGAACGCUAAUACCGCAUACGUCCUACGGGAGAAAGCAGGGGACCUUCGGGCCUUGCGCUAUCAGAUGAGCCUAGGUCGGAUUAGCUAGUUGGUGGGGUAAUGGCUCACCAAGGCGACGAUCCGUAACUGGUCUGAGAGGAUGAUCAGUCACACUGGAACUGAGACACGGUCCAGACUCCUACGGGAGGCAGCAGUGGGGAAUAUUGGACAAUGGGCGAAAGCCUGAUCCAGCCAUGCCGCGUGUGUGAAGAAGGUCUUCGGAUUGUAAAGCACUUUAAGUUGGGAGGAAGGGCAGUAAGCUAAUACCUUGCUGUUUUGACGUUACCGACAGAAUAAGCACCGGCUAACUCUGUGCCAGCAGCCGCGGUAAUACAGAGGGUGCAAGCGUUAAUCGGAAUUACUGGGCGUAAAGCGCGCGUAGGUGGUUUGUUAAGUUGGAUGUGAAAGCCCCGGGCUCAACCUGGGAACUGCAUCCAAAACUGGCAAGCUAGAGUACGGUAGAGGGUGGUGGAAUUUCCUGUGUAGCGGUGAAAUGCGUAGAUAUAGGAAGGAACACCAGUGGCGAAAGCGACCACCUGGACUGAUACUGACACUGAGGUGCGAAAGCGUGGG